Carassius gibelio (silver crucian carp) is the source of this 9388-nucleotide long non-coding RNA. RefSeq lists it as uncharacterized. The record is from RefSeq and is a predicted model, not a curated record. The transcript is spliced from 7 exons. NCBI's taxonomy places the organism in Eukaryota, Metazoa, Chordata, Actinopteri, Cypriniformes, Cyprinidae.
CAUGAGCGCGCGGCCCGAGCGGAACCUGGAUUCUGUCUGAGAGCAGCGACUGGAAAGAGGCGAAGAAAAAGCUUUGCUCCAUGGAUAAAGAGAAGAGGAGGGAAAUGUACAGGAUUGAUUUCAUUCCUCUACAGAAGAUUUCUGUCUGGAGUCCCUCAGUGACUCCUCUUGUAAGCCUCGGUACAAAGUCAGUGAAGAGCUGAAUAAGAAAAUAUCCCUCUUCAGUGGUGACAUCACAAACGCAGUCGCCAACACAGAUGUUAUUCACCCCGUGGGGCCAAUAGUCCAUGAGAGAGAGAGGAACAAGCACUGAGAAACUGUUUUUAUAACUGUCUGCACACAGCAACUAAGAACCACCUGCGGACUGUGGCUUUUCCAUGCAUCUAUACUGGAGUGCACGGAUAUCCCCCGAUCAAGCUGUCGAAGUUGCCCUGAGAACAGCGAGAGAAUACCUGGAGCCAAAACCACGAGAAGGUGUGUGUGUCCUUUCCCUGUUGGUGUUCUUUUCUUGCCAUUGUUGUAACUGUUCAAAGAGGAACACACCGUAGCAAACAGAUGGUGGCUGCGUAGGGAGUUACUUUUCUGAGUCAGCAUGCACACACACACAAAUAUAACCUCGCAGUUUUAAUUGGUUCCUAACGGAGCUUGUGUAGGCUUCACAGAACAGCACAAAUACAACAAAUCAACAAACAUAUUGACACAAUCUCUGGCCCCUGUGACUCAGUGUGAGUCCAGACUAAAUUAAACAGGAAAUGAGCCAUCAGGGUGUCUUUGACAAAACUUUUGCACAUCUCAUACUGCAGUCUCUCUCUCUCUCUCUCUUGCUUCCCUGGUCACAUCUGGGUCUUUUUCCCCCUCUGUCAUCUCUCACUGAUCUGUCUUUCCUGUCCUGAGCUUUCAUCUCACUCUGCGCUGCGUGCUUAGUUGCUCUUGCCUUCUUUUACGCUACAGACAUACAAAUGACAGAGACACCUUAAUUACAGCACACUAAUUAACCAGCACUUUGCUGCUUGCUAAACCUACCACUUACCAUAUCCAUCCAGAAAAAUAGUACACAAUGGAAGACAGUAUUAGUUUUGUAAAUUUGUAUAAACUUUUAAUUAUUAUAUAUUUUAUCAUAUUUUUAAUUGAUUCUACUUUUAUUGUUUUUACAAUUGUGUCAUAAUGUGUAUUGCAUUUUCUAUAGCCCCUUUCACACUUCCAUUCCGGCAAAUACAGGAGUAAAGUGUUCCGGCAAUUGUUCCUGGGUCGCUAGAUUUUGCACUUUCACACUGCCAGUGAUUACCCGGGAUCUGUGUGUGCUUUCACACACAACCAGUAAAGAUCCCAUAACGACACUUGACAUUAGGGCGUGACGUGUAAUGUACGAGUCGAAAAUGUUAGGUACGUUAUACUUUCACUGAAGCAAGCGAACGAUAUCGGCAUCAGCACGGAAAGUGAGGAACUAACUGAUCUCUGCUUCAUUACAGUUUGCACAUAUUUUUUCGUCGUGAGCGUUGAUCUUCCUUCAAAACAGCCGGUAAAAGAGUCGCGCGAUAACGUGCGUCAUCACUACGACACGUCAUUAGAUCUGGCUUUUGUUCACACAGCGCUGAACCCGGCAAUGUGACCCGGGUUCAAUGCCUGAAUCAAUCCCGGGGACGUCUUUGCUUUCACACAGAAGGCAACCCUGCAAUGUUCCGGCAAUAUGCCGGGUCUGACGUGCAGUGUGAAAGGGGCUUUUGAGGAGGCAAACAAUAUUUGGAUGAGAAAAUAAUCAACAUUACUAAGAAAAAACGUACAAAAUAUGUCUGUGUACAUCUAAGACCAUGUUUUUUUAAAGAGUAAAUGUGAGGAGUAAUUAAAAAAUAACGGCAAAAAGUUACAUAAAAGAAAGCGGUGCCUUCACGCCGGUGUGAUUGGCUGAUUACACUGUCAAUUUGAUAACGCCCACCUAUCAUGAUCGCAGCCAGUCUGUGAUUAGACCUGAAUGCGUCAGGCUAGUAUGGACUGACUAAUUAAUUACAGAGUGAACAACUCACCCACUUGGACAAAACCACUCAUGUCUGGAUCAAAAUCAACUUGAAAUGAUGAUGAAGACAUGCGAGUGAGCCAUUUUUUAGUGAACACUUAGCUUAGUUAAAUUAAAUUUACACAUCCAUUUAACCUUUUUUAUUUGUUCUUUUGUUUUGGAAAGAAGGCAACUAGUAAUAAUAACAAACAGCACAAAAUAUGCACUUUUUUAAAACAAAAACUUGACUUUUAUAUAAUUUAGUGUUACAUUCUGUGUUAUUGUUAAUAUAGCAUGCAAAUAUAAACAAACAAAAUAUUAUAGUAUUAUUUUCUCAUCGAUAGUGUAUGGUAAAUAGUUUGCUAUAUGCUUUUUGCCCAGAAACCAAACCGAAGAUUUAACCUCGUCAUUUCUGUAGCGCAUUUACAUAUGUGCAUGUUUAUAAUGUUACAAAUGCUUUGGCAGUGUAAAGCUCAAUUUUGAAUCUUAAUCAGACAGACAAAGCGACACAGGAUGAGUGAGCCAGAGAAGGGAAUGAAAAAAGACAAUGCUUCAAGACUAAAGAGAGAAAAAUGAGAGUGAGAGAGAUUUCAGCGGCAGAGUAGGAGUGCUAGCUGGAUGCAAUGAUGUGUUACAGGAACAUGAUUAGAAGCAGGAACAGCCCACCUGCCCUCACCACUGUUGUCAUGGAGAUGGAGGUUCUAGGAUGCUGGCACGGAUCUCCAUGUAUUCUUUUUAUGUUGUUGCUUGCCAUGAAGCAUUUGGGACUGGAGCUGGUGUUCUGUCAAGGACAGUUAGGUCACUGGCACUGCGCCUCUCCGGCUAGAAAGACUCAGACAUUAGAAUAUGCUAAGCGAUUGCACCCAAGUGGUCUUUUUCAGAAGACCCUCUCUUCACACAAGACUGAGAAGGUUACAGGUAAAAAAUGACAUGUGAAUUGGAUAAAUGAACAUCUUUCUUCAGUUAUAUGGAAUUUUUUAAGUGCAAUUCACGCCACAGAAAAUAAUCUCAGUUUAAAAAACAAACACUUUGACAGAAAUGCACUUGUAAUGGAGUUCUAGAAGAUGUGCAGUUGUUGUUUUAAAAAAAUUAUUUAGUUUCGUAAUCGCUUUUAUUUCAUUUUCCUAUAUUCACAUUUGUAUUAUUAGGAUGAAGUUUUUGAUAUAUUAUCACAGUUACAUUCUUCUCAGUUGUGUCUAUGAAGUAUUGUCGGUUUCUGCAGUAGCAGAAUCAGAGCUUGAAUGUGAGAUUCUCUGUGGUCAUUUAUUUUUUAUUUCCUGUCUCUUUUUCUGGUUUAAUCUGCUGUCAGCUGGACCGGGUCAUCUUGUGUGUGUUUCUGAAGUCUGACAAAGAGCUCUAUGAAACAGUGUUGCCUGCAAGCUUCCCACAAGGUUCACCGCCAAAUAGCACAUUAUGAGAGGAUGGCAUAGUUGCUGUGGAAACGCCACACAAUCUGCUUUUCCGUCACAUCACUGUCUCGCGUUUACCUGAUGCAGCCCCUACAAACAACAACAACAACAACUGCCUGACACCUGAUUUAUUCAUAUCACCAAACCAGUGCUCCACGGAAUUCAGUGAUUGCUGUUAGCUUCCCGUGGGGAAUCAUUGCUAUUGUAUUUGUGUUAAUAUUAAUAACAAUGUGGGCUUACAAGUGGGAGUUCACCCCCAAAAUUACACAUCGAUAGCAUUUCUUUCUCCUGUUUUUCUUUUUUUAAUUUUUUUUUUGGUCUGUACUGUGGAAGUGAGUGAGGUCCAUCUCUAUCGAGAUGACAGAAAUAAUAUCAUAGCUCUGCAUGACCAUUUAUGUCUCAAAUUCUGUUUCUUUAAAAUCUAUUUAUGGCUAACUCUUAUUAUUACUCCUUCCAGGAACAAUUUUCCACAGUUGCACUAAAUUAGCUUUGAAAUUAUAACAUGUAUCAUAUGUGAAUAUUGUUUAUAGAGUUAUAGAAUAUAAAUUGAAUGAAGGCAGUCAAAGGAAGAAAAGGAGCAUGUCAAUGGUUGUAACACAACCUUUAAUGAAAGUGCACUAUUUGUACUUCUUCAAUGUACUUUCUGUCUUCCAGUAUGAUAAAAGACCCUCAUUAAAGUCAACUCCUCUCUCUGAGCUAAUGGCUGGGGCUGCUCUUAAUGCAGCUUUCAUUAAUUACACCGUAAGUUUAUUGUAUUAUGUCAGCAAUUUGAUUUAGAACAGAUGAAAUAUUUUGAAGUAUUGAUGCAAAUUGAUUGUCAAAUUCCUCGAGAAGAACUCUUAAUUGUUUUGUGACAUUUCCUUCCCACUCGUUUCGUACGAUACGAUUCAAGCAUCUUUCAUAGCGCUUUCCAAAAAAAGAUGAGUCUUCUUUCAUCUCACCAUGCUGCUAUAUCUGUGAAAGAAAGGAGAGUGUGAGGGAGGCAGAUGAAAAAGAGAGAGGGGGAAAAAUGAGUUUAAUAAAUUCAUCUGAAGCAAUUUUCAUUUUUUAAUAAGCGACAUUCAGCUCAGAUACUGUCAUCAGGCGAGCUUCUCCAAAUAAUGAGAGCGGAGGAGAAAAGAGAGAGAGAGGAAGAGCUCAGCAGAGUAAUUAUCCUAAAUCCAGACUUCAUCACCGUCCCAUCAGCACUUCUCUCUUCCUUUCCUCCCUCUUGCAAUCCAGCUCUGUGUCCCUCUCUAGCUCUCUUAGUAAAGUGGUGGCUAUUUAAUUUGCUGGAUUGGCACAGUGAAAGCACCAGUGCGGGGCUGCUGCUGAAAUAGUAACCCUUCAGUGAUGAUUACACUGGAGUGCGUCGUAUACGCCAGCAGCAGAAACACGGCGAGAUGAGAGCUCCUCUUCUCUUCUCUCUCGCCUUAUCUCUCUUUCCCAUGCCCUGGUGCACUGGUUUUCGAUGAUCCUAUCGUUUCUCUCUCUCUGGUUCCCUCCAGCUGUGUAUCGCCAGACUCAUAACCCCAGAUUCUGCCAGUCAGACGGAGCUCGCUAUCACUCGCAGCCCUGCCAUUUCAUCCUGGUGCUCUGCCGCAGUUUAUAGCCACUUCAGUCUGGUUUAAUCUUGUAGGUGCAGCCAUGGCUUUUUGAGCCAAGUGGAUUUGAAUGUGGCUUCCCAAAUAGUUCAUUUAUUUUUUAUUAUUAUUAUUAAGUUACCAGGAGAAAAAAAAAAAAAGGAAAAAUCCCUAGGCCUAUAUCUCUACAUUUUGGUCUAACCAAGUUGUAGUUGCUUAGCAUUUUUUAUAUAUUUUUUUAUCCACCCUCAUGUCGAUCCAAAAGCACAGGAUUUUUUUUCUUUCCUCAUUGAACUCAAAAGGUCAUUAAAAUGUCAACGCUAAUGCAUUCCAGACAAUGAGAAGUUGCAUUUUUGUUCAGUUUAUUUAAAAUAAUCCUGCAUAAAUGUGUGUGUGAACAAGCAGCAUGCUCUCGUCCCUCUGGCCUGUGCUGGCUGUGUAGUUCAUCAUUAACAUUUACCUUUUUUAAAACAGUCUUAAAAUUCAAUAUACUCGUUUGGUUGCUAUUUUGGUCUUUGAGAUAUUGCAAAAGUUUUGUACUUAGUUCAGCACCUUUGGUCUUGACCGUUCCCUGCUUAGUCAAAUAACAAAGUUGUAAAUGAGCGAUGACACAAUUUAUAGAUCAAACUGAAGGCUAGUCCACCAUGAGAUCCCUCUGGAACUUCUUAAGGGUUUUUAAGAUCCCUAUUUUUGAUGUAUGAGUGCAGUACGGUCUGUGGUUAGCAUUACUUGAAGAGAUUUUUACAUUUUGUUCUAAAAUAUAAAUUAUACACAGUCACAUAACUCUGAAGUUGCUGUAAGCUGCUAGAUAAGGAUCAGAAAAUGACUCAUAAAGGUUGUUUUUUUUUCAGUAUUUAGGACUGCAAACUGUGAAACUCCACAAAUGCACGUACUGUUUUGGGACGAGCAUUUUUAAGACCGUGAACUUGGCUAUCAGGAACAUUCUAUGUCAGGUGUUAAAUAUUUUUCUGCACGUUUUUUUAUUUAUUAUUAUUAUACUGCAAAUUGAUGCUACAUCCAGGCCAUAUUUUUAGUUUAUUAACCCACAUUUAGUUUAUUUUUUAGUAGAAAAAAAAACAGUAUGGUGUUUUUUUGUUUUGUUUUUUUUUAAUGCUCCUUGCGAGUCUAAAUGUUAUUGUUAAAUCAUGUUUACUUAAGGUAUCAAUGGCAUUAUAUGUGUUCAAUACUUAUCAUUUGAUACAAUAUCAUUACCACACCAAAAGCAAAAAGUGUAGAUGAAAUGCUCUAGAAUAGUUCUAGUGUAAAAUGCAGUGUGAUUGUGUGAUUACAGCCCCCACAAGCUCCAGGGCCUCUAUGUAUAUACGAAGACAGCAAGCUACUAAGUUGUAUAAAAAAAAAAAAACUGUUAUUUGCAUUUUGAUCAUGCAUUGAGAGAACAGAUACCUCAUCACAUCGAGAGAGCGGGUGAGCAGGUAAAUGAGAGAGAGCGAGAGUGCUGAAAGCGUCGGAUGGGGUCAGCAGGAGUUGGUUGCUGAUGUUUAUGGAUGCUGGAGGAGACGCUGGCGUGGGGGAGCUGCUUGUGAAAUGAAAAUGGAUCUUUAGCAGAACCCAGGACACUCUGCUGCCCCUCAAGAUCAAUUCACUGAUUUACUAGCUGAAAGCCUGUCAGAGCUAAACACCAGCGUUAAACUCGGGUAGAGGAGAGGAUGUGGGGGUGACGGAGCCUUUAAGGAGCCAUCAGGACUUUCAGUAGAGUUACAUAUGAAGUUUCAAAUGCCCCAGAAUUUGCUCACAUCUCAGAGGGAGCAGCAUGUAGGUGGUUUUAGGUGGCAGCUCUUUUGUGCCUAAAUGAAUCCUUUAAUUAAAUACGCUGUUUACUUUUGUUCUUCUCCAGUAAGCACUGCGGCUGCAUAACACAUUGUGAGGGAAUUAUUUUUCGUGAAGUGUCAGUGAAAGCUUCAUCUCCUGCAGAGCGUCUGCAGCCUGUGUGUGUGUCUGUGUAUCUGCUAAAAUAUUAAAGAUGUUUACUGUAUUGUAUGGGAGAGGUGAUAUCGUCUCUCUGUCAGACAAAUGUGUAGGAUAUAUUUAAUUUAAUAUUCCUAAUAUAAUAUUUAACAAUUGCAAGUCCCAAGACCACAUGGAGUAGUUAAAAUAACAUUAUAGGUUGUUUACAGCAUUACUCUGCAGCAACAUGGUGCUGAGCAUUAUUUCCUCAAUAGUAUUCACCUAAAGAAAUGUUCUUAAUCAUAACUGCUUUUCACACAGAAUGCGUUGUUUCCACCAGACAUGCAGUGCAAUGUUUAGCUCCAACUUUCCCCAACACACCUGCCUGGAAGUUUCUAGUAUGCCUAGUAAGACCAUGAUUAGCUUGUUCAGGUGUGUUUAAUUAGGGUUGGAGACCCAUGAUAAACUCUCCAGUUUGGUGACCCCUGCUUUAGGCUACUUUAACUUUGAGUGCUGCUUGGCUGUCUGUGUUUGUUGUUGUUUUUUCGGGCCAGAGAAAAAAAAUUGUUGUGAAAGUGAUCAUAGCCUACUAUUUUGAUUUAGGCUACAUCAAUAAAAGGCAUUGUGUCAGUUGCUGUGUACAAACCAUAAAUGUUGCAUUUGCUAUUAAAAAAAUACUAUGUUAGAUGGAGCAUGAGUGCUUAGUGUGAUAAUGGAACAGCGGGACAUUUGUGGGCAAUAUAUGAUUUCCUAUUCGCUCCAUUAUAAAAUGAUCCAUUGUUUCUUUAUCCUGCUUGGUUCUAUUUUUGUCAUAGAUCUUGUAUUUGUACAAUGCUCUGAGUCUGCCCACACUGAAUGCACUACCACCAGUGAUGGAUCUUUUCAAGCAUUCGCAAUUAUUUUGACUCGCUUGCAUUUUUUCUAUGCCAUUCUUCUCUGGUUUUGAGGCUUACCUCUUUUUGCACAAUUUAACUACCUACCCAGUUUUCAUGAUAUGCACUUUAUAUAGCCUAAAUUCUUUAGGAAGUUUAUGCUAAGAAAAAAUAUGUUUUAAUGUUUUUCUUGAAAUGUGAGUUGUGCUGUCAUUAUGUUGGAUUUGGCCUAAAGCAGUAUUCACUAAGUGCCUUGUUUCACCAGGCAAAAAUGCAUGUCAGAUUGCUAGACUAAAUAAGAAAAAUACUAGAAGAAAAAUAAGUUUCAGGUCAGAAUGUAAAUCGUGUGUGUGUGUGUUGUUUUAAUAGAAUAAAUACUUUCUUUUAAGGUUUUAGUGUUCAUCCAAAUAUGAUUGAAAUAGAGGGCGUGUGUGCAUGUGUGAGUGGACAGUGUCUGAGUGCUCUCCUCUCACCUACCUCGAUUUUAUUUUUAUUUUGAAUGUUUAAUGUAUUAAAAGGGCCAGGGUAAUGAAUUAUAAUCUUUAAUGCAGAGAGCGAUCGAUACCUCCACAAAAUAAAUCAGCUUUUUACUGAGAGCGUCAAAGCCUUUAAUACACUGGGGGAGAAACAAGUGAGGGAGGGAGAGGAGGAGAGCGCGCCAGGGAGGGAGCAUGACAGGAGCUGUUGAUGGAAGGAGAGAGCAGGAACGAAUGGGGUUAGAUGACAGUGCUUCAGAAAGAUACUGUCACCGGUGACCACAUUUCAGAUGAUCCCCACAAAGUCUUAGUAUCUUCAACAAACUCCAGGGAGUCAGGAGGUCACAUCUCAUCUUGUAAUAGCUAUAUACGAUCUGUUGCAUAUAAAUAUGUGGUGGCUUUGUUUUAAAGUCUCUAUUACAGUGGCAAACAGCUCAUGAGAUCUCAUAAUAAUCAUUCUCCUCUCAAAUUCUCUGGGGGUCUUCUAAUUUUAGCCGAAAUUCUAACAACUUCACAAUUGCUUUUCUUUGUUCAGCUGAAAAAAUAGUGUUUUUUGCAUCUUUCAGACAAUUCAUUGAUUUAAAGUGCAUCGUCUAAACAUUCUGAACGCAGAAUCUUUAAGACAUUCCCUGAAAUGUUGUCGACUGGAUGACAGUCUCUAAACUGUGCAUCGUGGUGCUCAGUAUAUCAUCAAUUCAUCGACGAAAAGACGAAAAGGUUUGCGGACUGACGCAUUUUGAUUAAUGUUGCCAUGACAACUGCAUAAUUCUUGAAUUGUAUUAGCGUUCCAUUUGUCGUUUUUGAGUUAUGAUUCACCCCAGCCAAGGAUUGUCAAAAAAAAAUAUCUUUAGCCGCACCCACGUUGUUUUAAGACCCCCAUCAUCAUCUGCCUCCUUCCUAAAUGUCAAAGUCUCCAAAGUGUCAGCUUUUUUUUCCAAACGAGACAGCAUGAAUUAAUCUGCUCUCAUAAAUAUCUUUUUAGCAUCAGUUUGUAUAAGACACUCUCAUAAUUAUACAGACAAAAAGGCACCAGCACACCAACCACUGGGCAUUAUAGUGUCACAUCUCAGUGAGGAUAAGAACUACAACCCCAUCCACUUUAUAAAGAAGUACAAUAAUUUAGUAUAAUAUUUCAUAAAAGUCAUGAUAGUCGCAUGUCUAUAAAUAUAUGGAG